This 356-nucleotide transfer-messenger RNA is filed under the name Paracoccaceae bacterium. It matches the Rfam family "Alphaproteobacteria transfer-messenger RNA". Rfam says of the family: Bacterial tmRNA, also known as 10Sa RNA or SsrA, is named for its dual tRNA and mRNA-like properties. Its role is to liberate the mRNA from a stalled ribosome. To accomplish this part of the tmRNA is used as a reading frame that ends in a translation stop signal. The record is from RNAcentral. Lineage: Bacteria; Pseudomonadati; Pseudomonadota; Alphaproteobacteria; Rhodobacterales; Paracoccaceae.
CCGCUUGCAGCGCGCGGCGCGCAUCCCUAUAUUGACCUUGUUCGGGGUUCGCUCCGGGCUAUGGACAUAAACGCGCUCAGAAUAAGCGGAUCGGACCCGGGGGCGGUACCCGGCGGCUCCACCAAAACCCGGUAUUGGCCGGUCAUGGGGCCGAAAUAGGAUCGACGAACGUCUAAAAGGGUUAUGCUUUGUCUCGGUGAGGUACCACCGUUACCGGUCCAAAUGUACAGUUGCCAAUAACAACCGUGCUCCGAUGGCUCUGGCUGCGUAAGCAGUUCGAGUUAUCGAAAAUUAAGUCCUUCCGCCUAGCAGCGUAAGGCGGGGUUCGCAGGUACCUGGCAACAGAAACCUGCACU